RNAcentral lists this long non-coding RNA (568 nucleotides) under Equus asinus (donkey). Its description in RNAcentral is "lncRNA (ENSEASG00005036102.1)". Lineage: Eukaryota; Metazoa; Chordata; Mammalia; Perissodactyla; Equidae. The record is from RNAcentral.
ACAGGGACCUGACGCAGUGGGGCUCAGGGAGGGCAGCCUGAGGAAGCCCCGUGGAGGAGCUGAAGGUGCCGUGAGGAGAACAGACUGGAGGAGUCCACAGUGGAGCUGCUGUGCCAGUGAGGACACUACUGCAGCCUUGGUUGGCAUUUACUGGACCCACGUGUUCCCGUGAAGAAAGUGGUUCCCACAAGUGUUAACGGAGCAGAAAAUUCCUCAGAGGUCGCACACAGAUGCUGCCUUUGGGUCUCUGCACUCUGUGAGCGGCUAUUUCCAGGUUGUUAAUCCUUGAAAUGACCUCGUGUUUUCUGAGGACAAAACUCUAGAAGUGAGCUCUGCUCAAAGGCCUGCAGCAACUGUCCGUGUUCCCCGUCCCCCGUCUGUCCGUCCGUCGUCGCUCACCCCCACCUCCCCGGCACGGCCUGUGAAUGCCGGGCUCUCGGGCAUCCUUGCCAACACCCGGUACUAUCAUUAAAAGAGAAAAUAAUAAUAAUGGCACCCUCCACUUCGCUAGUGUGAGCACAACCUCCGCGUGUUUUCUCCUGGGGUUGCACUUUUCCUGGUGAGCUUG